Molecule: ribosomal RNA, 1674 nt
Filed under: Electrona antarctica
Lineage: Eukaryota; Metazoa; Chordata; Actinopteri; Myctophiformes; Myctophidae
Description: 16S rRNA
Rfam family: Bacterial large subunit ribosomal RNA
Source: RNAcentral
UCCUAAAAAGCUAGCCCAACCCUUAAAAAAACAAACCCCUUUAAAUUAAAUACCUACGAAACAAUUAACAAACCAUUUUACCUCCCUAGUACCCGGGCGACAGAAAAGGAAACCUGGAGCUAUAGAAAAAGUACCGCAAGGGAAAGCUGAAAGAGAAGUGAAAUAACUACCCCAAGCUACAAAAAGCAGAGAUAACCCCUCGUACCUUUUGCAUCAUGAUCUAGCCAGUAUCCCUGAGCAAAGAGAGCUUUAGUUCAGCCCCCCGAAACUAGACGAGCUACUUCGAGACAGCCUAUGAUGGGCAAACCCGUCUCUGUUGCAAAAGAGUGGGAAGAUCUUUAAGUAGAGGUGACAAACCUAUCGAGCCUAGUCAUAGCUGGUUGUCUGAGAAGUGUAUAUAAGUUCAGCCUCCCGACUCCCCCCAUCCAGGACAUUCAUGUCUCCCGAGACCGAGGGUGACCGAGAGAGUUAGUCAAAGAGGGUACAGCCCCUUUGAAAAAGGACACAACCUCACCGGGAGACUAAAGAUCAUAAUUAACCCAAGGAGUCUUGUUUUAGUGGGCCUAAAAGCAGCCACCUAAGAAGAAAGCGUUAAAGCUCAUACAAACUCCGCCCCCUAAUACCGAGCCCAACUCUACACUCCCCUCCUAUUAUCAGACCGUCCCACAAACCCUGGGAAAGACCCUGCUAGAAUGAGUAAUAAGAGGGGCCGCCCCUCUCCGCUACAUAUGUGUAAAUCGGAACGGACCCCCCGCCGAUAACUAACGAUCCCCCAUUCGAGGGACAUGUAAUGCUGCACGAAUAGCUAGAAACCCUAACAAAAUUAAUCGUUAACCCAACACAGGUGUGCAUACCCGGAAAGACUUAGAUAAAGGGAAGGAACUCGGCAAACACAAGCCUCGCCUGUUUACCAAAAACAUCGCCUCUUGCAGAAACGAACGAAUAAGAGGUCCCGCCUGCCCAGUGACGAUGAGUUAAACGGCCGCGGUAUACUGACCGUGCAAAGGUAGCGUAAUAAUUUGUCUCUUAAAUAGAGACUAGUAUGAAUGGCGUCACGAGGGCUUAACUGUCUCCCCUCUAAAGUCAAUGAAAUUGAUCUCCCCGUGCAGAAGCGGGGAUAAGCUCGUAAGACGAGAAGACCCUAUGGAGCUUAAGAUUUAAAGCAGCCCACAUCGACCCCUUCCCCCCCAGGAAACAAACAGACUGGCCCUUGCUGACAUAUCUUCGGUUGGGGCGACCACGGGGAAAAACAAAACCCCCACAUGGACCGGGGCCACUCACCCUAAAACAUAGACCCACAGGUCAAGUCAACAGUACUUCUGACCACCAAUGACCCGGCACAAGCCGAUCAAUGAACCUAGUUACCCUAGGGAUAACAGCGCAAUCCUCUCCGACAGCCCUUAUCGACGAGGGGGUUUACGACCUCGAUGUUGGAUCAGGACAUCCUAAUGGUGCAGCCGCUAUUAAGGGUUCGUUUGUUCAACGAUUAAUAGUCCUACGCGAUCUGAGUUCAGACCGGAGUAAUCCAGGUCAGUUUCUAUCUACGCAUUGAUCUUUUCUAGUACGAAAGGACCGAAAAGAAGAAGCCUCUAUCAACGACACGCUUCACCCCCUACUGAUGAACACAAAUAAAACAGACAAGGGGCAAAAUCUCUACGCCCUAAAAUAGGGUUA